AGAACGAACGCUGGCGGCAUGCCUAAUACAUGCAAGUCGAACGAACUCUUCGGAGUUAGUGGCGCACGGGUGCGUAACGCGUGGGAAUCUGCCCCUUGGUUCGGAAUAACAGUUGGAAACGACUGCUAAUACCGGAUGAUGACGAAAGUCCAAAGAUUUAUCGCCAAGGGAUGAGCCCGCGUAGGAUUAGCUAGUUGGUGAGGUAAAGGCUCACCAAGGCAACGAUCCUUAGCUGGUCUGAGAGGAUGAUCAGCCACACUGGGACUGAGACACGGCCCAGACUCCUACGGGAGCAGCAGUAGGAAUAUGGACAAUGGGCGAAAGCCUGAUCCAGCAAUGCCGCGUGAGUGAUGAAGGCCUUAGGUUGUAAAGCUCUUUACCCGAGUAUGAUAAUGACAGUAGUCGGAGAAUAAGCCCCGAUAACGUCCGU
Molecule: ribosomal RNA, 430 nt
Filed under: uncultured soil bacterium
Lineage: Bacteria
Description: bacterial SSU rRNA
Rfam family: Bacterial small subunit ribosomal RNA
Source: RNAcentral